This 71-nucleotide transfer RNA is filed under the name Stegodyphus mimosarum. It matches the Rfam family "tRNA". From Rfam's summary of the family: Transfer RNA (tRNA) molecules are approximately 80 nucleotides in length. Their secondary structure includes four short double-helical elements and three loops (D, anti-codon, and T loops). Lineage: Eukaryota; Metazoa; Arthropoda; Arachnida; Araneae; Eresidae. The record is from Rfam by way of RNAcentral.
GUCUUCGCAGUGUAACGAUAACAUACUCGGCUCAUAUUCGAGAGGUCCAGGUUAGAGUCCUGGCGAGGGCA